GACGAACGCUGGCGGCGUGCCUAAUACAUGCAAGUCGAGCGGAGAAUGAAGGAAGCUUGCUUCUUUCAUUCUUAGCGGCGGACGGGUGAGUAACACGUAGGCAACCUGCCCUCAAGCUUGGGACAACUACCGGAAACGGUAGCUAAUACCGAAUACAUGAUUUGUUCGCCUGAACGAAUUUGGAAAGACGGAGCAAUCUGUCACUUGAGGAUGGGCCUGCGGCGCAUUAGCUAGUUGGUGAGGUAACGGCUCACCAAGGCGACGAUGCGUAGCCGACCUGAGAGGGUGAUCGGCCACACUGGGACUGAGACACGGCCCAGACUCCUACGGGAGGCAGCAGUAGGGAAUCUUCCGCAAUGGACGCAAGUCUGACGGAGCAACGCCGCGUGAGUGAUGAAGGUUUUCGGAUCGUAAAGCUCUGUUGCCAGGGAAGAACGUCCGGGUUAGUAACUGAACCCGGAGUGACGGUACCUGAGAAGAAAGCCCCGGCUAACUACGUGCCAGCCGCCGCAGUAAAAC
RNAcentral lists this ribosomal RNA (519 nucleotides) under uncultured bacterium. Its description in RNAcentral is "bacterial SSU rRNA". It matches the Rfam family "Bacterial small subunit ribosomal RNA", at positions 28 to 526 of the family's 1533-position model. The record is from RNAcentral.